RNAcentral lists this ribosomal RNA (471 nucleotides) under uncultured Bacteroides sp. RNAcentral describes it as "bacterial SSU rRNA". It matches the Rfam family "Bacterial small subunit ribosomal RNA", at positions 28 to 488 of the family's 1533-position model. The record is from RNAcentral. Lineage: Bacteria; Pseudomonadati; Bacteroidota; Bacteroidia; Bacteroidales; Bacteroidaceae.
GAUGAACGCUAGCUACAGGCUUAACACAUGCAAGUCGAGGGGCAGCAUGGUCUUAGCUUGCUAAGGCCGAUGGCGACCGGCGCACGGGUGAGUAACACGUAUCCAACCUGCCGUCUACUCUUGGACAGCCUUCUGAAAGGAAGAUUAAUACAAGAUGGCAUCAUGAGUCCGCAUGUUCACAUGAUUAAAGGUAUUUCGGUAGACGAUGGGGAUGCGUUCCAUUAGAUAGUAGGCGGGGUAACGGCCCACCUAGUCUUCGAUGGAUAGGGGUUCUGAGAGGAAGGUCCCCCACAUUGGAACUGAGACACGGUCCAAACUCCUACGGGAGGCAGCAGUGAGGAAUAUUGGUCAAUGGGCGAGAGCCUGAACCAGCCAAGUAGCGUGAAGGAUGACUGCCCUAUGGGUUGUAAACUUCUUUUAUAAAGGAAUAAAGUCGGGUAUGGAUACCCGUUUGCAUGUACUUUAUGAAUA